Molecule: transfer RNA, 66 nt
Filed under: Stenocephalemys zimai
Lineage: Eukaryota; Metazoa; Chordata; Mammalia; Rodentia; Muridae
Description: tRNA-Gly
Source: RNAcentral
ACUCUCUUAGUAUAAAUAAUAUAACUGACUUCCAAUCAGUAGAUUCUGAAACCACGGAAGAGAGUA